GACGAACGCUGGCGGCGUGCCUAAUACAUGCAAGUAGAACGCACAGGAUACACCGUAGUUUACUACACCGUAUUCUGUGAGUUGCGAACGGGUGAGUAACGCGUAGGUAACCUGCCUGGUAGCGGGGGAUAACUAUUGGAAACGAUAGCUAAUACCGCAUAAGAACAUUUACUGCAUGGUAGAUGUUUAAAAGGUGCAAAUGCAUCACUACCAGAUGGACCUGCGUUGUAUUAGCUAGUAGGUGAGGUAACGGCUCACCUAGGCGACGAUACAUAGCCGACCUGAGAGGGUGAUCGGCCACACUGGGACUGAGACACGGCCCAGACUCCUACGGGAGGCAGCAGUAGGGAAUCUUCGGCAAUGGGGGGAACCCUGACCGAGCAACGCCGCGUGAGUGAAGAAGGUUUUCGGAUCGUAAAGCUCUGUUGUUAAGGAAGAACGAGUGUGAGAAUGGAAAGUUCAUACUGUGACGGUACUAAACCAGAAAGG
Molecule: ribosomal RNA, 489 nt
Filed under: Streptococcus intermedius
Lineage: Bacteria; Bacillati; Bacillota; Bacilli; Lactobacillales; Streptococcaceae
Description: bacterial SSU rRNA
Rfam family: Bacterial small subunit ribosomal RNA
Source: RNAcentral